UGAUCUCUUUUUCUAUUUUUUCCUUUUUUUUUCUCUUUUGCAAUAUGCAACUAGGACAGGAAAAGAUCUUGGUUAACACAGAUACAUACACACACAAAUAUAUAUAUUUAUAUUGUAUGUUCUUUUAUGUAUGGCAGUAUGAAUUAUUGAUCAUGUACCUUGUGAAAUCAUGUACUGGAAAAAAAUUAACACUAGAUGGCUAUAAUCACAAUCUCUAUAAGUGUGAAACCGGUGUCUGACCACUGGUAUGAUGAAAAAUUUCAAUAAGCAAAUUUUAACCGUUUAGCAUUCAGAUAUUCCUCUGUCAAAUGUAAUGCCUAUUUAUUCACGUAAUUUCAAGAUUUUGAGUUGUUUAUUUUUAGAAUGACAUUGAAGAGUGGGUGUGAGAGGCUGGAUCUGACUGAUUUUGAUAUAAAGCAGGAAGAAUGUUUGAGCUAGAGAAGGCCAGUUCAAAUGCUGAAGGGUUAAAUGAAAGAUGUACUGGAGAACUUGUAUAAAAAAAGACAUUUACAUAAAAUAUUUCGUUUUUAUAUUUAGUUUGCAAGAUUCUUGAUGUGAACUUGUGUGUUGGAACAGAUUUUGUUGUAUCUGGGUGUGGGGAGUCAUUGUGCCAAUAAUAGACACACAUACAGAUUGUAUGUUUGUUUGUUAUUGUGUAUGUGUGUGCACGUAUUUUUUUUGUGGGGUGGGGCAUUGAAAUAAGUACCAGUCAAAUACUGGGGUUGAUGUAAUCCUCCUCCUCCUCCUCCAAAACUGUUGGCUCUGUGCCAAAUUUGGAACCCUUAUUGUGUGGAUGUUCAUUAUAGGUAUUGAAAUUUACAUCAAAACAAACUGGGAAAUAGUUAUUGAAAUUAAAAUAAAAUAAAAUAAAAUAAAAUAAAGUAGCAGGGCAAAUUACCAUCCUGAAGCAUUCUGUUGGGGCAUGGGGCCUAUUGUUUGUAAACUGGUAUGGUCUUGGAAAAUCAAGACAUGUGGACAUCACAUUCUAAAGUCAUUUCUUAAUCAGCUUAAAUGAUAAGCUGCCUAGAACUGCUAAACUAUUGCGCGUUGCGGCCGGUACGUUCACACAGGGAUGAGGUUUCUGCUUGUUCAGUGGUCUCCAGUCCCCAACAAACCAACCAUGAUACAUUCUGAGCAUUCGAUAACUGAACAUGAUCUGCAUUACAUGACUUUAUAAAGGCUGUGGCUGCAGGCAAUGAAGCUCUCGCCGUUCCACAAGUUCAUCGGAGUCUGUUCAGGCACUUCCAUAGGGGUUGUGCAACAUCUGAUAUGACAGAUAAAUAGAGGAUGUCAGUAAAAUAUUCAGUGCCUAACAAGACUGGUGAAGGAGGCUAAUUUUAGGGGUUAUAUAUAUAUAUUAAAAGAAUAGUUAUCUGUCUGUAAUUAGAUUUAAUUAAUGCUGCUUGUGCUAGCUAGCUAGCUUGGUAUAAUUAACUUUAAUUAUAGGCUGUGUUUGCUCUGGAAGAAGCAUCCCUCCCCAUCCUAAAAUAAGUAAAAAAAAAAAAGGCCUCCAAAGUCAUGGUUCGGGAUGAGUGGCAGGAUGUUAGAGAAGUGUUAAUAUGGCAACAAAAAAUAACAACAGCU
This 1584-nucleotide long non-coding RNA is filed under the name Octopus sinensis (East Asian common octopus). Its description in RNAcentral is "uncharacterized LOC118767414". Lineage: Eukaryota; Metazoa; Mollusca; Cephalopoda; Octopoda; Octopodidae. The record is from RNAcentral.